UUGGGAUUUUAUCUCAACUUGGAAGCUGAGCAAGGUCAGGCCUGAUUAGUACUUGAGUGGAAGACCGCCUGGGAACACGAGCUGUAGGCUUAAA
Molecule: ribosomal RNA, 94 nt
Organism: Gorilla gorilla gorilla (western lowland gorilla)
Lineage: Eukaryota; Metazoa; Chordata; Mammalia; Primates; Hominidae
Source: Ensembl